GAUAUAAAUAUUCUGACUGGAGUUGAAGGCAUCAGUCUGUCGACGGCAAACUAAAGACAAUGAAGUUCUACGUUGUGUUCGUGCUCUUUGCUUUUCUGGCUGUGACCAAAGCAGCACCAGUAGAAGAUUUGGUUACAGUGGAGGCUGCUCCUGAUGAUGAUCCCUCACCUGCAAAAUUUCUGAUUGAAGACCCCGUUGAUUACAAAGAACCAGUUAGAGAAGAGGAGGAGACACACGAGGAACAUGCUGAAGAAGCUCCACGGAGUCCCGACAAUCUGCAUCACCAUGUUGAAGGAGAAGAUGAGCCAUUAG
Molecule: long non-coding RNA, 312 nt
Organism: Thalassophryne amazonica
Lineage: Eukaryota; Metazoa; Chordata; Actinopteri; Batrachoidiformes; Batrachoididae
Exons: 3
Source: RefSeq, a predicted model, not a curated record